GGAUGUGAGGGCAAUCUGGCUAUGACAUUUGUCACCUAUGAAUCACCAGGGUUGAUUCAGGUGAUUUGACUAGCCAGGCAGGUAUCCCCUUCCUCCCUCACUGCUCUAUGUGCGUCCCUCCCACAGGUACACACUUGGUCAGAGAGGGUGACCCCCCCACACCCAUAGAAGAGGACUGUUUCCUUUCACUGUACUCUCCUGCUAGAACUUCAAACAAGCUCUCAAAAGUAGGCCAUUUUAUUAAGUGAAAUAUGGUGAGAACGCCCAACACAGAGUUGUGCUUGGGACAUAUUGGAGUAGAGAUGUCAAGUAGGGAGUUGAAUGUGUGAGUCUGGAGCCCU
This is a non-coding RNA of Heterocephalus glaber (naked mole-rat), 341 nucleotides long. The record is from Rfam. Lineage: Eukaryota; Metazoa; Chordata; Mammalia; Rodentia; Bathyergidae.